GAACACACUGCUAUCAAGAAUUGGGAAGGAUCGUGCUUCAUAGAGCUGCACUUCAAAGGUUGUUGUUCAAACUUUUUUCAUUCGAAUCUCACUGGAUCUUGCUCAUUUCUUGUGUUUGUUGGCUCCUCUAAAGUCCUCUCAUAAGAGGCAAUUGAAUUGUGUACUUAAUUUCAUAAAUCCAUCAAGUUCAGUUUGAACUCCAUAAUUU
This 208-nucleotide long non-coding RNA is filed under the name Lathyrus oleraceus (garden pea). Its description in RNAcentral is "Pisum sativum (pea) long non-coding RNA (PSAT_LNC000221)". Lineage: Eukaryota; Viridiplantae; Streptophyta; Magnoliopsida; Fabales; Fabaceae. The record is from RNAcentral.